GAUGAACGCUGGCGGCGUGCUUAACACAUGCAAGUCGAACGGGAAAUAUUUCAUUGAGACUUCGGUGGAUUUGAUUUAUUUCUAGUGGCGGACGGGUGAGUAACGCGUGGGUAACCUGCCUUGUACAGGGGGAUAACAGUCAGAAAUGGCUGCUAAUACCGCAUAAGCGCACAGAGCUGCAUGGCUCAGUGCGAAAAACUCCGGUGGUAUAAGAUGGACCCGCGUUGGAUUAGCUUGUUGGUGAGGUAACGGCCCACCAAGGCGACGAUCCAUAGCCGGCCUGAGAGGGUGAACAGCCACAUUGGGACUGAGACACGGCCCAGACUCCUACGGGAGGCAGCAGUGGGGAAUAUUGCACAACGGGGGAAACCCUGAUGCAGCGACGCCGCGUGAAGGAAGAAGUAUCUCGGUAUGUAAACUUCUAUCAGCAGGGAAGAUAGUGACGGUACCUGACUAAGAAGCCCCGGCUAACUACGUGCCAGCAGCCGCCGUAA
Molecule: ribosomal RNA, 494 nt
Filed under: uncultured bacterium
Lineage: Bacteria
Description: partial 16S ribosomal RNA
Rfam family: Bacterial small subunit ribosomal RNA
Source: RNAcentral